GACGAACGCUGGCGGCGUGCCUAACACAUGCAAGUCGAACGGGGUUAAGAGAGCUUGCUUUCUUAACUUAGUGGCGAACGGGUGAGUAACGCGUGAGGAACCUGCCUUUCAGUGGGGGACAACAGUUGGAAACGACUGCUAAUACCGCAUAACAUUCACGGACCGCAUGAUCUGUGAAUCAAAGCUUUAUGUGCUGAAAGAUGGCCUCGCGUCUGAUUAGAUAGUUGGUGGGGUAACGGCCCACCAAGUCGACGAUCAGUAGCCGGUCUGAGAGGAUGAACGGCCACAUUGGGACUGAGACACGGCCCAAACUCCUACGGGAGGCAGCAGUGGGGAAUAUUGGGCAAUGGGGGAAACCCUGACCCAGCAACGCCGCGUGGAGGAAGAAGGUUUUCGGAUCGUAAACUCCUGUCCUCAGGGAAGAGCAGAAGACGGUACCUGAGGAGGAAGCCCCGGCUAACUACGUG
Molecule: ribosomal RNA, 467 nt
Filed under: uncultured bacterium
Lineage: Bacteria
Description: bacterial SSU rRNA
Rfam family: Bacterial small subunit ribosomal RNA
Source: RNAcentral